Gallus gallus (chicken) is the source of this 249-nucleotide long non-coding RNA. RefSeq lists it as uncharacterized. The transcript has 3 exons. The record is from RefSeq and is a predicted model, not a curated record. Lineage: Eukaryota; Metazoa; Chordata; Aves; Galliformes; Phasianidae.
CCCUUCUGCGCGCCCAGGGUACGGGUGAUUUGGCUUUGCCUUCCUUGGCUUUUUGGAACUUGGGAAAAGGUACCGAGGUGCAUGGAUAUGGAGAAGAGAAGCUCUCCUGCUGUGGCUGAGAGGUGAUCCAAAGGAGGCCUCCCGAGCAAGCACCACAAAGGCAGCUUGCUUCUCCAGAGGCUGCAGCAUAAGCUCGUGUUCCUUGUGGAGGACUCCGUUGUGCAUCUGCAGGAGCUGCUUUGGCAUGGA